AAGGUGAGAGCUGCGUUUGUGGGAAUGAUCAUGGCAGAGUGUGCUCAAGUUGGUUUAAUCAUAUUGAGCAAACAAGUCAUGGCACAAGGCAUGACCAAUUUCAUCUUCAUCUUCUACUCCAACACAAUCGCUUCCCUCAUUCUUCUUCCCACUUCAUUCUUAGUCCACAGAUUUCAACGCCCUCCUAUCACUUUCUCCAUCCUUUGCCAAUUCUUCUUGCUUGGAUUACUCGGGCAAGUUCACUUAAUCCUACCCCUUUAUUGAUUAUGCAUAAAUUGUGAGUUCUAUUCUAAUAACAUGGUUUUUUUUUUUCAUUUUUAGUUUGUUUUCAGAUUUUUGGCUCAGGCUUUUGGGUAUGCUGGGAUUAACUACAGCUCACCGACGCUUGGUACUGCCAUGCUCAACCUUAUUCCUGGUUUUACCUUCAUACUUGCAGUUGCUUUCAGGUUCAGUGACUUUGAAUUAUUUGAGAAUUUUCUGUUCUUUCAGACAAAUUUAUUUGAGCACUUUGGCUAGUUGUCAUUAUUCUAUUUGGGUGAAUAAAGAGGAAAUUUUGAGCUUAUUGAACAUUCUAGUUUUGGUAACACUUGUGUUUUCUGGUUGAAUGAGAAUUUAUAAAUAUAAAUAAUGUGUUUUCUGUGAAUAAUAUAUCAUGACUGUGCCUUGUGAUGGAUUUUCUUCAAUUCUGUUAUCACUAAUUUUCCGCCUAAUGAAGGAUUGGUGCCAUCAACUCCUAUUUCAUGGAGAUUUUGAAGUAGCAUUUUGUUGGAACUACCAUGUCCUCACUUUAGGAUGAAGUAAAUGUUUCACAUUGAAUUACAAACUAUCUUGAGUGACAGCUGUGCAGUACUUCUCUAUCUCACUAGUAUUUGGAUACUUGUUAGUAUCUCAUUUUGAGACAAAAAAGUGAACAAAACUCUUCCAUGGAUUGAAAAUCCGUUUAAAUUACACUCAAUUGUAUCCAAACACACACGGAGGAUAGAAUUAACUUUUUAAGUCUUUUUCCUUCAGUUUUAUUUCUUAGUUGUUGGAUAGACUGCAAACCCAUAAGUAAUUUGCAAGGGUUAAUUCAACUGGCAUAUAACCUGUCCAAGUCUCAAUCAUUUUCUUGGAUUUGUCUCUUUUCUGGCUCCAAAUGAAGUCAAAUUAAUUUAUCAAUUCUCAAGGGAAUUGCUCUAUUGAGCCUAUUACAAUGUAAUUUGACCUAAAAUUCUCUCAUAUAUCAAUUUGGUUUACCAACAUGCAUAAAUAGUUGUCAAUUACUGAAAUAGUUAUACUGCAGAAUCAUGUCGCUGAGAUUUUUUGCACUCUUUAUUUUCCCAAAAUUCUUUCCAACUAAAGAUUCACAAUUAAUCAUAUUUUGUCUUGAAAAUGAAAAAUGUUCCAUUUUUGGAGUUUAGGCACCUGGUGCUAACACGAGUGCUUUGAGAUUCUUGUUUUCAAUAAUCAUAUGUUCAGAUCACAUAAUGAUUUAUUUGAUCAGAAAACCUUCUGCAAUUCUUUUAAGUAAAAGCAACUCCUCAGGGUUUUGAAAGUUUUGUAUGUUUUGUGUCUUUUUUUCUAGACAAAAGGCUGACCAAAUAUGCACACUCAUUGUAAAGCAAAAGAUACAUACUUGUUCUUUCAAUCAAACCAGUCAUUCACUGCUAUACAUAUGCUUUCAGAAUGGAACUAUUGGAUUGGAAAAGCUCUAGUACCCUUGCUAAAUCACUGGGAACAAUAGUAUCAAUUACUGGUGCAUUUAUUGCGACAUUGUACAAAGGCCCUGCACUUCUGAUGGGGCUAUCACCUUCAAACUCAUCUCAGCAGCCAGUUUCCUCUCAAGAUUCUAAUUGGAUACUUGGAGGAUUAUUUCUCGCAGCUGAUUGCGUAAUGGCUUCAGGAUUUUUAAUUUUACAGGUAAAAUUAUCAAGUAGAAGUAGAGCUUCAUGAUUAAUGCUUUCUACUUGCAUGGUACACAAUGGGUUGAAUAUAAUUGGCUAUAUUUCAGGCUUCUAUUCUUAAGAAAUAUCCAGCAGGGUUGAUUACUGUAUUCUUUUAUACUUUCUUUGUGGCCAUUCAAUCUGGUGUGACCUGUUUGGUUGUGGAAAGAGACAUCAGUGCUUGGAGCUUGGAACCAAUGUUUAGGUUGCUUGCUGUUUUAUACUCGGUAAUCAAAAUGUAAAUUAAUUUGAUUAGCUUAGAACUAGUAACUACUGCUUAUCUUGGCCUAGAAGUCUGAAACAUCAUCUGUAAACAUUCCAGGGAGUCAUGGGCUCUGCAUUUCAAGUCGGUGUUACUACUUGGUGUUUACACCAGACAGGACCUGUUUUUGUUUCCAUGUUCAAGCCCAUAGGCAUUGUCAUAUCGGUGGUUGUAGGUGUUGCCAUCCUUGGAGAUGCAUUCUAUCUUGGAAGGUAAGUUUGUGUCUCUCUUCUAUAUUGUGUUCAGUUGUACUGUUGAGUUUAUUCAACGAUCGCGAAUUCAUUGUCUUUCAAUGCAGUCUGGUUGGUGCAACUGUGAUUGUUCUUGGGUUUUAUUCUGUACUGUGGGGGAAAUCCAAAGAUAUUGAAGUGAAAAGCUUGGAAUCAAGGGGGAAACAGACCCCUCUUUUGAAGGAAAACAGCAGUGAAGACAUUUAAAGUACAUUUAAAAGGAUGCUUGCUACAAUUCUGCCGCAAAUAUGCAGUUUCGAUUGUUUCACUCAGAGUAAGGGAGUAAGCUCUGACUCUGAAGUAUGUUACAAGAAAACUAUCUGGUAAAUCUUCUAAGAAAUAUUUUGAUUCAAUUGAUCUGUAUUUAGACAUAAAUUUUGAUAUACUCCCUCCGGUCCUAUUUAUAAGUAACAAAAAAAAAUUCACAUAGUUUAAGAAAUGUAGUUAAACUAGAUAAAAUGCAUUAAAUUUGUCUUAAAUUAAAAUGAACUUCCAAAAUUACCCUUUGUUAUUAGUGUUGGAAAGUGGAAAAGAAAGAGAAUAAUUAAAGAGACACAUUUUACAAGUUAGAAUUAAUAAGGGCAUCAUUGGAAAAAAUUAAUUAAUAUAGCUCAAACUUUCAUUUGGUUCUUAUAAAAAGGACCAAGAUUUUUCUUCUCUUUCAUGCUUAUAAAUAGGACCGGAGGGAGUAUAUGAUAUUCUGUAUUCAUGUAGCUCCUACCAAUGGGGAAAAAGCCCUGGUGUAUUUGUUAAGAAUAAUGACUAUUCAUAAAUACCACAUGCAAUCAAUUAGAUUGUUGGAAGAAAAUAUCAAUAAAUGCAUAGCAUUGAUUCAUGGAAAUCUCAAGCUUAGUUUCAAUCAAAUAAUCCAUCACAAAUUUUCUGCUCUGGAAAUCUCAAUUCCUACUAUUGAUUUUGAAGCCUAAACGUAGAGCUUCACAUCACAAGCCAAGAAAAACCAGCAGAUGAUGUCAUUGAUUCUGCUGGUAAUAAAUAAAAAAAAUGCAGAAAAAGAGCAAUGGGCGAUAAAUGAUGGAUUACUCACCUCAUGGCUUCAAUGUAACAUGAAGGAAGUACAAUCUAAUAGUAUGACCUACGGAGGGGAUACAACUUUUUCAAUUUGGAAUUCAAACUAUGACCAGUUACUGCCCAACAACGAAGAUAGUGAGACAGACCACUUUGAAAAACAACCUCGAUGACUUAUCAAAGGGAACCUUGUCCUUGGAUGAAUAAAUCCAAAAAAUCAAGGAAAUUUGUGACAAACUAGCUGCAAUUGAGAAACCUCUCUCAGAUGUAGACAAAACUUUCCAUAUCUCAAAAGGUCUUGGAAGCAAAUACAAGGAGUUUCAAAGUGAAAAUGGAUCCUCUUCAGCAGCAUCACAGCCAUUAAAUUUUAUAACCAACGGUUUAUAUUAGUAAUAGAAAUUGAUUGAUUAAAAAUUGACUAAUUUAAUUAAGUGCACACUAGAUAGAUGGUGUAGACGGUAGAGUGUUAGAAUAUAAUAUAAAAUCAUUCAUUUGACCAUUACCCAAUAGUUGAAACUUUUAAGAUAAUUGAUUGUUUGACAUGGUAUCAAAGUCUUUAUGACCAAGGUCUAGAGUUUAAUUCUUGCAGCCUCAAUUCUUCUUAUAAAUAAAGUUGAAUUUAAGCACAUGGUUUGUGUACUUGUCAAUGUCAACGCUUCAAGCCUAAAAAACUCUUACAUGAGGGAACGUGUUAAAAUAUAAUAUAAAAUAAUUCAUUUAACCCUUACUUAAUAGCUUAAUCUUUUUGAAUAUUUGUGUUUCAGUGUUUUACAAAGAAUAUGUAUUCUUUCAAAUCACGGUUUUAUUUUUUUUUAACAGAAAUGACGGUUUUAUUAAAACAUCCUUAUCCCCCCUUUUAAUCAUUAAAUUAAUGGGUUUGAAGUUAAAUUCCACAAAUUGAACAAGGAUAAGUUGCCAAGACGCUAUAGGAAAAGGAAAAACAAGGACAAAGGAAAAGAAGAACUAGACAAAGUUACAACUUGAGUAAUUAUUAUGUUAUUGCCACUUGAUGGUGCCCCACAAUUGUGAUUAGGAAGUCCCUAAACAACCAUAAAAAAAAAAAGGAAGUUCCUAAACAAGGAAAAGAAAAAUCAGAGAAAACUAACUAGCCACUUGUGUAAUACCAUUUGAUUAGGAAUUUCCUAAACAAGGAAGGAAGGAAGAAACUAGAAACCAGCAAUAGUUUUACAACGUGGCUGGCUAUGUGUCCUAAACCUUAAGGCGCCGCUUGGAAAUAAAACAAGAGCAGGGAUAGCGGUAUUCUUAUUCUACACAGUACGUUUGUUUGUUUUAAAAAUCCAUUUUUCGGUGGUUUAGUUUCUCCUUCUAUCUCUAUAAAUAACCUUCACGGACUCACAGUUUCUUCCACAAACAAAUACCAUUCAUUACCAGCUCACUCAUCAAUUCAUUCUCAGUUCAUCUUAAUUUCUGAAAGCUAUAGCUAUGUCGACCACAGCUGGUCAAGUCAUCAAAUGCAGAGGUCAGUGACACAAUCAUGAUCCACUCUAAUCUUUCCUUCUGUUCUGUUUUGAUCUAUCUAUCUAUCUGCUACCUGCUCUAUUUCUAGUUUACUUAUUUUACUUUAUAGGCAUUGAUUUUUCAGGUUUACACUAAAACUAACUAUGAUCAUCAUUCAUCAAUAUCUAAUCUUCUAACUAAUCUAAUUUCUGGAUCAGACAUGUUCUUCACACUUUUUAUGGCUACUUAACUUCAAAUGUUUAACAAAGUUUUGAUCUAUUUCGCUGAUUUUUUAUUCUAUCCAGAAAAUUUUUAAAACCCUUUCCCUCUUUUUAGAUCCUUCUCUGUAUAAAUAGAAAAUUAUAAAUUUUGUUGAGCACUGUUUCUUAUUGUUGAAUAUUCGAGGGUAUGGCUAUAAAUUCAGUGAUAAUGUGUUGCUAACUGUGUGUCUUGGUUGAUUUGUUGGAACUUGGAAAUGUACUAGCCGCGGUUUCAUGGGAGGCAGGGAAGCCACUAGUGAUUGAAGAAGUGGAGGUGGCGCCGCCGCAGGCCGGUGAAGUGCGUCUGAAGAUACUCUACACCUCCCUUUGCCACACUGAUGUUUACUUCUGGGAAGCUAAGGUAACAAACAAUAAACUUGCAUUACCCACUCUACAUUCUAUUUAUAUUUAGCUCAAGUUGUUUAAUAUGAUCUUCAUUUUCCCCUUGUUUCAGGGUCAGACUCCAUUGUUUCCUCGUAUAUUUGGUCAUGAAGCUGGAGGGUAUGUUUCUCUUCUGAGUAUAGCACACAAUCACAUAUCAUAAAUCUAUGCCUUUUUGAUACAUUUGUUUGAACAUGAAAUACUUUUGGUUAAACCUUACUAAAAAUGUUGGCAUGAUGUUAUUCAGCAUUGUGGAGAGCGUAGGCGAAGGUGUGACUCAUCUGAAACCAGGGGACCAUGCUCUCCCAGUAUUCACAGGAGAAUGUGGUGAAUGCCCACAUUGCAAAUCAGAGGAGAGCAACAUGUGUGAUCUUCUUAGGAUCAACACUGAUAGGGGUGUCAUGAUCAGUGACAACCAGAGUAGAUUCUCCAUAAAAGGAAAACCCAUAUACCAUUUUGUUGGUACCUCAACAUUCAGUGAAUACACAGUUCUCCAUGCUGGAUGUGUUGCAAAGAUCAACCCUGCUGCCCCACUUGACAAAGUUUGUAUUCUCAGUUGUGGAAUAUGCACAGGUUUUGGUGCUACUGUCAAUGUUGCAAAACCAAAACCUGGUUCUUCUGUUGCCAUCUUUGGACUUGGAGCUGUUGGCCUUGCUGUAUGUUCCCCUUAUGCCUUUUGCUUUUGUGUGUGCAUAUGUUAUACUUAUACUUUUUACAGCAACUUAUAAAGGCUAAUAUUGACUUGAAAUUUAGGCUGCGGAAGGGGCAAGGAUUUCUGGUGCAUCAAGAAUCAUUGGGGUUGAUUUAGUUUCCAGCCGAUUUGAAGGAGGUAAAAUGUUUUCUUCUUCUUCCAUACAAAAUGCUUGAAGAUUCAGCUCAACAUAAAUGAAGUGGAUAUUCAAUUCUUGAUUGUAUUUCUGGUUUUAUUCUUGUUGGCAGCCAAGAAGUUUGGAGUCAAUGAGUUCGUGAACCCAAAAGAUCACGACAAACCUGUACAAGAGGUUAAUUCAUUGAAAAUUUCAUAUUAUGUUAUAUUUACGUUGACUUAAAGCUAUGCUUUUCCAACUUAUACUUUCACAUUCUGAUGCUAUGAAUUAAAAAUGUGAAUGCUGGUGUGCAGGUAAUUGCUGAAAUGACCAAUGGAGGUGUGGAUCGUGCUGUUGAAUGCACUGGCAGCAUCCAGGCCAUGAUCUCUGCAUUUGAAUGUGUCCAUGAUGUAUGCGAAAGCAGAACUCUUUUAUUCUAUGUUGCUGAAGAGUUCCUAUAAACCAAGGCCUAAUCUUGAUUGAUUUCUUCUUCUUUUUCACAGGGUUGGGGUGUUGCUGUACUUGUUGGAGUGCCAAACAAAGAUGAUGCAUUCAAAACUCAUCCUGUGAAUUUCUUGAAUGAGAGGACUCUUAAGGGCACCUUCUAUGGCAACUACAAACCCCGCACUGAUCUUCCUAAUGUUGUAGAGAUGUACAUGAGAGGGGUAAUUAAGCUUAUAAAAUGAUUUUCCUAAAGUCAUUCAAGUAGAACUAGUACAAUUUUGUUGCUAAGCAUCUUAUGGUGAUACUUUUGCAGGAACUUGAACUGGAGAAAUUCAUCACCCACACAGUUUCGUUCUCUGAGAUUAACAAAGCUUUUGAUUACAUGCUGAAAGGAGAGUCCAUCAGAUGCAUCAUCCGCAUGGAGGAGUAAAACCCAAAAACAAUGAUGUGUGAGUCCCUAUUUGGGGACUGAGUUCUCUUUCUGGUUGUGAAAGAAAAAAGGCAUAUAUAAAUAAUCCCUUAGGAGGAUUAUGAAAUUUGUGAUGUUUGAAUGUAUAGAAUGGCAGGGCCUUUGCUUCUGGGCUUGUCUAAUACAGAAUAAAUAAAAUGUGGCUUUUUUCAAUUUGCUGCUGUUCUAGUUAAUAAUUUAUUUUCAUCAUUCUAAAGUUAAAACGUUGUCUGAGGUUAAUAAUCUAAAGUUAAACGGAGAGCUUCGUUUUGACUAUUUGUAAGGUUAAUAAUCUAAGAACUGGUGCUGUCUUUGAUAUUUAGGAGUCUAGGAGCUUGUGUGAAAGUUUGUAAAUUGCAUUUGAAGAUGUUUAUAAGGGUGAAGUCUGGAUAGCUUUAUGCAACAAGAUGGGGAAUAUUUUAAGAUGCAAUUAGAUUAAAUGUAUACUUCAAUCAUCCAAGGAUUGGCACAGGAACAUUACAGUUCUAGUAUCUUUGUUUAGCAUAAACAUUGGUUCCACAGAUGAAUUCUCAAGUUAAAAGGGAUCAGUGCUUAUAAUGUUUAAAGUUGAAUUUGAAAACAACAUCAAUUAAUACAAAGACUAAAUGUAGCUAUAUGUUACCAGCUUUGAUGUUAAUUUGCUCCAUCUUUUGGUAGCAAAUAUGAGAAGAGAAUUUCGUUCCACAUAUCAGGAACACCAGGUAGACACCAAUGACUGCAAUCUGGCACAGAUGGCUUGUCACUCCAUGUACCCACAUGUCCAUCACUCCUAUAUGCUCCCAUGGGUGUAACAUGCAGAACUGUCACAGGAACAGUCAUUUUUUUUCACAACUCUGUUGAUCAUGUCUGAAAUUGGACUCUUGUCCCUGCCAUUUGUUCUCUUCCAAGGCCUUCGGGCCACCUUGCAAGCGUGGCGGUUCUGUCCACUGCCACAAAGAUAAGCAUAUUAAUAGCAUGUUUGACUAACUUCUCUUUCCACAGAAUCAAUUUUGAAAUCCAAAAGCUAUUCACAUAAGUUUCUCACUAGAAUUGAUUCUUAAUUGCAGAAAGAUUUCCAAACAUGCUAUAAGCCUUAACUCUUAUAGUUCACACUUUGCGCCUACCAUUAAGUUUGAUGGCCCUUGUGUUGCCAAGAGAAUAGAGAAAUAAACCCUUAAUUUGGUUAUGUUUAGUCAUUGUCUCAUCUAUAAACUUGCAAAACAAAUAGAUAAAAAUGGUGUUAAAACUUACCUCCAGUGAGAUGAUUCAAAGGUACGGAAGAAUACUCUUGUCCUGUUUGUGUUAAUUGUAUUCUCUACCCAAGAGGCCCAGGUGAGUAAAGCUGUGUUGAAAGCAGAAUUAAUUGGCAUUCCAAGCUUCAGUGAGUUACCAACCUGAAAGUACCAGCCCCUGGCUGAAGAGCAUGUUAGUAGCAAUAGUAGACAUUCUUCAAGAAAAGUUUAGGCUAGUCAUGUAGGGAAAACUAACACAUAUAUUAGUUAUACAUGAAUAUCCAAACAUUUUCACGUCUGGCUAACUCCGUGGAUGUUUGGAUACACGGUGCAAAAUCAACGUUAAGCCAAAAUCAUGGUGGAACGCCACAAAAACUAAGGACUCACAGUUUCUUCCACAAACAAAUACAAAUUCAUUACCAGCUCACUCAUCAAAUCAUUUUCUCAGUUCAUCUUAAUUUGUGAAAGCUAGCUAUGUCGAGCACAGAUGGUCAGGUCAUCAAAUGCAGAGGUCAGUGACACAAUCAUCAUCCACUCUAAUCUUUCCUUCUGUUCUGUUUUGAUCUAUCUAUCUAUCUGCUACCUGCUCUAUUUCUAGUUUACUUAUUUUACUUUAUAGGCAUUGAUUUUUCGGGUUUACACUAAAACUAACUAUUAUCAUCAUUCAUCAAUAUCUAAUCUUCUAACUAAUCUAAUUUCUGGAUGGGACAUAUUCUUCACACUUUUUAUGGCUAAUUAAACUCCAUUUAGCUUCAAAUGUUGAACAAAGUUUUGAUCUAUUUAGCUGAUUUUUCUUCUGUAUCCAGAAAAUUUUAAUUCCCUUUUUUCUGAUCCUUCUGAGUAAAUAAAGAAAAUUGUAAAUUCUGUUAGUUAACUGUUUCUGAUCCUUCUGUAUUGCUAAUGGAAUGAAUGAAUGUCCUGUUUUGAAAUGUACUAGCUGCGGUUUCAUGGGAGGCGGGGAAGCCGCUUGUGAUUGAAGAAGUGGAGGUGGCGCCACCGCAAGCCGGAGAAGUGCGUCUCAAGAUACUCUACACAUCCCUCUGCCACACUGAUGUUUACUUCUGGGAAGCUAAGGUAACAAACAACACACUUGCAUUACUCACUCAACAUUCUGUUUAUAUUUAGCUCAAGUUUAACAUAGAUCUUCAUUUUCCCAUUGUUUCAGGGUCAGACUCCAUUGUUUCCUCGUAUAUUUGGUCAUGAAGCUGGAGGGUAUGUUUCUCUUUUGAAUAUAACACUUGUGCACACAAUUAAUGAUUAUAAAUCCUUGCCUUUUUGAUAAAUUUGGUUCAUAUUUCUUAAGUUUAUAUGGUUUCAACAUGGAAUGCUUUUGGUUAAACCUUACUAAUAAUGUUGUUAUGAUGUUAUUCAGCAUUGUGGAGAGUGUAGGCGAAGGUGUUACUCAUCUGAAACCAGGGGACCAUGCUCUCCCAGUAUUCACAGGAGAAUGUGGUGAAUGCCCACAUUGCAAAUCAGAGGAGAGCAACAUGUGUGAUCUUCUUAGGAUCAACACUGAUAGGGGUGUCAUGAUCAGUGACAACCAGAGUAGAUUCUCCAUAAAAGGAAAACCCAUAUACCAUUUUGUUGGUACCUCAACAUUCAGUGAAUACACAGUUCUUCAUGCUGGAUGUGUUGCAAAGAUCAACCCUGCUGCCCCACUUGACAAAGUUUGUAUUCUCAGUUGUGGAAUAUGCACAGGUUUUGGUGCCACUGUCAAUGUUGCAAAACCAAAAC
Molecule: long non-coding RNA, 10182 nt
Filed under: Lotus japonicus
Lineage: Eukaryota; Viridiplantae; Streptophyta; Magnoliopsida; Fabales; Fabaceae
Description: long non-coding RNA (LJAP_LNC001019)
Source: RNAcentral